CUCAGAGCAGCGUGGGAUCAUUCCAGGACACGGUGAGGCCCACGUCCCCGGCCCUGGUCACCACAGAGCAUGUGCAAAGGUCCUUCCUCCGGCUUUCCUUAAGGAUCGGCAAACGGUGGUCGGAGAGGAGGGGAGAUGCUUUCCUAGAGCCCGCCCUCUCCUGGGCAGCCUCCGGCCACGGCCACGCCCCUGUCCCAGAACACGCAGCACCACUGCCUGCCAUGGACACGAGUCCUGGCCGGAGUUGCCCAGAGCCCAGCAGUGUCAGCGAUGGGGAGGGGGUGAUUGAAUCUUAGAGGUGGAGGAUUCAACACAAAACCUUCCCGUGUCCGGAUGUCCCCCGAUCUCUCUGCUGCCACCCCUCUAAGCACUGCCAUCUCCCCAGCUUCAGAGACCAAGCUCAGACUUCAAGCCACUGCGAGAGAGAGUGGAAGAGAGAGGGAAAGACAGAAGGAAACUGAUGGGAGAGA
Long non-coding RNA from Pipistrellus kuhlii (Kuhl's pipistrelle), 470 nucleotides. RefSeq lists it as uncharacterized. The transcript has 3 exons. NCBI's taxonomy places the organism in Eukaryota, Metazoa, Chordata, Mammalia, Chiroptera, Vespertilionidae. The record is from RefSeq and is a predicted model, not a curated record.